This 1312-nucleotide long non-coding RNA is filed under the name Homo sapiens (human). Its description in RNAcentral is "HSALNT0304210". Lineage: Eukaryota; Metazoa; Chordata; Mammalia; Primates; Hominidae. The record is from RNAcentral.
UGUGUGUGUGUGUGUGUGUGUGUGUGUGUGUCUAUAGAUGCAUAUUAGGCCGCUGAAAAGUUUUAUUAUUCUUUCCAGGAGAGAGACUGCCAACUUUUGAACCUAACUAGAACAAUAUAUUGCUUCUUCAUAUUUUGAUUAAGGCAAAGAGAGUCUAGUUAAAAAUAAUUCAACUUGUCGUGGAAAUGCUAUAAAUUGCUGUGAAGUGAGUUGCUGGCUAUGGCUUGUCAGAGUAAAUAUAUUGUACAAAUCUUAGGGGAGAAUCAGUGCUCGUGCAUUAAAAUCAAAUCAUCUUGCAGCACACUGAGAAAAAGGUUAGAUUUUUAAAAUAAUUUCAAAGUCAUGAAAAGAGCAAAUAUGCUCCACAAAGAGCCUAGCAACCCUCAAUGACCAAUGCCCCUUUUAUAUAGUUUGGUAUCUGAAUUAGAAUCCCAGAAUCUACAAAUUCCUCUGGGUGAGGGUGCUGCAUUUUGAGGAUUUUAUAACACUGCCAUCACCAAGCUCUCUUUUGAUAUUCACUUUAAGGAGAUAAUUUACGGGCAACCAGAGAGCAUAAACCAAAGUAGAUAUCUAACUAGAUAGCCAGAUACAUCUCCAUAUCAUUGACAGGAUACAUUCUGGCCGAGUGUGAGUACAACCUAUGGAUGUGGUUGGAGAGAACAUGUGUUCCACCUCAAUGGCAGAUCAGGAUUAUUCCUUCUCAUCUGCUGCAAUGGCUCAAUGUGUUAAGGAGAGGAGCGAGACAGCAAGAACCGCAUUCAUUCAGUCAUACAGACCAAAAGGAGGAAUGUCGCCCAGCCCUCUAAACUGACCCAGAACCCAGCUCAUGUCUCAACUGCUACCUCUCCUACUUAGAAAGAAGUAACUCCACCAAAGCAGGGUUCUGGACAAAUAUAUUUUUAUUGAUCAUAUACAAAUAGAUGAAGAUGGACUUGGAUGUUAAGAAAAAUAAUACUAUACAAAAUCAAGAGUAGACAGUCACCCCUAGACUUAAAUUAAGGGUGUGUACAUUAGAUAAUUUAAUCCAAUGUAUCAGGUAAAAACUUGAACGAACCUUUUAGCCUCUUCCUUAAAAUUCAGGAAAGCAUGUCCUCCACAAAACAGAAUCAAAAUAUAAAUAAAAGACUGGCUUAAGAUGAAAGGAAACCUUACAAAUGAAAAGAAGCCAGAUGAGAGGCCCUUAACUGAGAAUGAAAAGAAAUUGAGUGGACAAAAUAAUUAUGAGAUGAACCUUCAAAUCAGAAAGAGGGAAAAAAGCUUAUUUGAUACUAUGGGAACUCAAAAGAGAGUGAACAAAAAUGUGAAAAUUCCA